This 1136-nucleotide long non-coding RNA is filed under the name Triticum aestivum (bread wheat). RNAcentral describes it as "long non-coding RNA (TAES_LNC001135)". The record is from RNAcentral. Lineage: Eukaryota; Viridiplantae; Streptophyta; Magnoliopsida; Poales; Poaceae.
GAAGAUAUUUAGGCAUGUGAGUAAAUAUCCACCUAAAUUCAAAGAAGACCGGAAGCAAAUCUUGAAUAUUGAAGCAGUCGUAAAGUAUAAAAGAAAUAACCUACAAAAGGGAAAGAUAAAAUGAUCUGUAGUUCUGUACUAACAUGGAUACCACUGUAGUUUUAAGAAAAUAAAUAUAAUAUUGAAUUCACAUUGGCUAGAAGUUUUAUCUCCACAUUGCAUUGAAAAGCACAGUGGUACCUUCACAUUGGCACAUCAUCAAUAGACUUCAUCUCAGGAGAAGUGAGGAAAUCAGGAACCUAUUUCAAAAUAUGGAAACCGCCCAUAAGUAACAUGAUCAAGUAAAGAAAAUUUAAACACACUAUCAUGCCAAUUUAGGAACAUUAUACCAUUCAUUACUAAUCGCACUAUCAUUUUCUCUAUUCAGAAGACUUUGCUUAGCAGGAGAGGCCUAUGACAUCAUAUCUACCAGCACUUGCUAACUAAUAUUUUCUCCAGAAGUGCAUGCAAAAAAGUUUAUACAAGCUGAUUCUCUCCUAGAUGCUUGGCAAAAAUGUCAUUUUGUAAAUCGUAAUCCCUUCACCUUAGUAAUUACGGGAUGAACUAACAUAAAUGAACCAUACUAACAUUUGGCAAAGUCUAUUGAGAUUACAAAUAUAGGAAUCAUCUAUCUAUAGAAAAAUAUUGAUAGAUCGCACAAGGGUAAGCUUAGCAUCACACUCGAUCUGGACCUCGCUGUUGUAACCAAUUAGAAGCGCCCCAAAUAUUUCCUAAAUAGCAGUUUUUUGCUACUCAGCGGCACCCAAUUUCAUCUAAAACUAAUUUGUUUGCCUCCCAAAGUGUAACAAGAUCACCAAACACACACACACACACACACACACACACACACACACACACACACACGGCAGCCUGGAAUCACCAGCAACCACAUCGAUUCAAUCCAGGGGGUGCGUGGUAGGUCGUGGGGAGAAGGUAGAUGGAAGAGAUCUUACUCUGCCGAAUAUGAGGUGGAGAAGGACCUCGAGCGGGGAUGCCACUGGGAGCCGAGUUUCGGCGCCGGCCCACCCAAGGACGGCUGGCGAUGGGCUUCGACAGCGGCUGCUCCAGAGCUCAGCGGCGCAUGGCAGCGGCGAGCC